GUGAGUGGUUUCAUAGUAAUAUGGGUUCAAAUGCUUUCUAGUUUUUAUGGGUUUUUUGUUUUGUUUUGUUUUGCUAUUCAUUAUUAUUUUUUAGUGGUCCACCUUAAGGGUUUCUAUCCAGUGUUCACAAGCUGCUGUUGUUCAUGGUGUCACAUGAGAUUCAGACAAUUUCUCAUCACCGGCCCACAGUUUGAAGGCACGAUCUUUCAUGGCAGAGGAGGCAUGGUGGUGGGGACAGAAGGUACCUGGUCACUUGGCAUCUGCAAGCAGGAAACAAAGAGAGGGGGAAGAGAUGGUGACAGACGGCCAGACAGGAAGCUGAGAGAUCAUUUCUCAACCACACACAGGAAGCAGAAAUCAAACAGGAAGUGGAGCGUGGCUCUAAACCCUUGGAACCCUACUCCGAUGUAGUACUUCCUUCAACACGGCUGAACCUUCUAGAGGGUUAUGUAACCUCCCAAAAUAGCACCAGGAAGAAGUUAUAGCAGGAACUCACAGCAUGGCAGAAACCUGGAGGCAGGAACUGUUGCAGAACCUGUGGAGGAAUAUGCCACUUACUGGCUUGCUCUCACGGCUUGUUCAGCAGCCUUCUUCCUUACAGGGAUGGCACCAUUUAUAAUGAAUGGGUUGGAUCCUCCCACAUUAAUUAAGAAAAUGCCCUACAGGACUGUCUACAAUGGAGGCAUUUCCUCAUUUGGGCUUCUCUCCUCUCAGAUGGCUCAAAUUAACCAGCACACAUGGGAAGAUAUUGGGAAUGAAUGUACCUUCGUUUAGCUCUAACUCUUGAAGUUGAAUCAUGUAACAAUGAACAAAACCACUAGACUUAGAGUCCUGUGGUAGCAUCUUGCUUUGCCAGUGAACUUGUAGUAGCAUCCACAUCUUUGGGUGUGGCUUCAGGUGGCAGUGGUGGGCAUGAGCUCUCCUGGGUCGCUGAGAGCGUUGGAAGGGCAGAGACUGCGUCUUCUGGAGCAGGAAAGCCACGACGGUAAUUUACUCUUAUCUGUGUAAGUUCUUCCCUAAUAAAACACCUAUUUAUCAUU
Molecule: long non-coding RNA, 1040 nt
Organism: Mesocricetus auratus (golden hamster)
Lineage: Eukaryota; Metazoa; Chordata; Mammalia; Rodentia; Cricetidae
Exons: 2
Source: RefSeq, a predicted model, not a curated record